RNAcentral lists this ribosomal RNA (253 nucleotides) under uncultured bacterium. Its description in RNAcentral is "partial 16S ribosomal RNA". It matches the Rfam family "Archaeal small subunit ribosomal RNA", at positions 474 to 727 of the family's 1478-position model. The record is from RNAcentral.
UACCAGCACCCCGAGUGGUCGGGACGACUAUUGGGCCUAAAGCAUCCGUAGCCGGUCAUGCAAGUCCUCCGUUAAAUCCAGCCGCUCAACGGUUGGGCUGCGGAGGAUACUACGUGGCUAGGAGGCGGGAGAGGCAAGCGGUACUCAGUGGGUAGGGGUAAAAUCCUUUGAUCCAUUGAAGACCACCAGUGGCGAAGGCGGCUUGCCAGAACGCGCUCGACGGUGAGGGAUGAAAGCUGGGGGAGCAAACCGG